This 335-nucleotide ribosomal RNA is filed under the name uncultured rumen bacterium. Its description in RNAcentral is "bacterial SSU rRNA". It matches the Rfam family "Bacterial small subunit ribosomal RNA", at positions 622 to 953 of the family's 1533-position model. The record is from RNAcentral.
AGCCUCCACGACUUUUUACUUGAGUACAGAAGAGGAGAGUGGAAUUCCAUGUGUAGCGGUGAAAUGGCGCAGAGAUAUGGAGGAACACCAGUGGCGAAAGGCGGCUCUCUGGUCUGUUACUGACGCUGAAGGUGCGAAAGCGUGGGGAUCAAACAGGAUUAGAUACCCUGGUAGUCCACGCCGUAAACGGAUGAGUGCUAAGUGUUGGGGGGUUUCCGCCCCUCAGUGACUGCAGCUAACGCAUUAAGCACUCCGCCUGGGGAGUACGACCGCAAGGUUGAAACUCAAAGGAAUUGACGGGGACCCGCACAAGCGGUGGAGCGUCGACGCGGCCG